RNAcentral lists this ribosomal RNA (351 nucleotides) under Staphylococcus aureus. RNAcentral's name for it is "bacterial SSU rRNA". It matches the Rfam family "Bacterial small subunit ribosomal RNA", at positions 1 to 341 of the family's 1533-position model. Lineage: Bacteria; Bacillati; Bacillota; Bacilli; Caryophanales; Staphylococcaceae. The record is from RNAcentral.
UUUAUGGAGAGUUUGAUCCUGGCUCAGGAUGAACGCUGGCGGCGUGCCUAAUACAUGCAAGUCGAGCGAACGGACGAGAAGCUUGCUUCUCUGAUGUUAGCGGCGGACGGGUGAGUAGCACGUGGAUAACCUACCUAUAAGACUGGGAUAACUUCGGGAAACCGGAGCUAAUACCGGAUAAUAUUUUGAACCGCAUGGUUCAAAAGUGAAAGACGGUCUUGCUGUCACUUAUAGAUGGAUCCGCGCUGCAUUAGCUAGUUGGUAAGGUAACGGCUUACCAAGGCAACGAUGCAUAGCCGACCUGAGAGGGUGAUCGGCCACACUGGAACUGAGACACGGUCCAGACUCCUA